Molecule: small nuclear RNA, 124 nt
Filed under: Neogale vison (American mink)
Lineage: Eukaryota; Metazoa; Chordata; Mammalia; Carnivora; Mustelidae
Description: Neovison vison (American mink) U4 spliceosomal RNA (ENSNVIG00000004558.1)
Rfam family: U4 spliceosomal RNA
About the family: U4 small nuclear RNA (U4 snRNA) is a component of the major U2-dependent spliceosome. The structure of U4 snRNA from yeast and human has been reported.
Source: RNAcentral
AGCUUUGCGCAGUGGCAGUAUCGUAGCCAAUGAGGUUUAUCCGAGGCGCGAUUAUUGCUAAUUGAGAACUGCGUUGAGCAGAGAAGGGAAAGCCCUCUCUCUGCUGUAUGGAAACUGAUUUCUG